CCGGGAUUCAAAUCCAUAUCCCAUGCUCAUAAGCAGCAUACAUUUGUACUCUAUUGCCUCACAGCUAACUGUGGUUGAGUUAGCAGAACAGAGAACACAGAGAUCACUUCUAAUGGAUGGGAGAGCAGGUGGUGAUCAAGGAUUAUUCCCUUCCCAAGAUGGCGUCUGCGCAGAAGUUUACAGGAGGAUUGGGAGUUCCAUGAAUGAAGACUGGAGAGGUUAUCUCAGGCUAAAGGAAAGGCAUGUGCUAAGGCAUGAAGUAUUGGCUCCCAAUGGAAGAAUCCUUGACUUCUCUCUCCCCAC
RNAcentral lists this long non-coding RNA (303 nucleotides) under Pan troglodytes (chimpanzee). RNAcentral's name for it is "long non-coding RNA NONPTRT012240". The record is from RNAcentral. Lineage: Eukaryota; Metazoa; Chordata; Mammalia; Primates; Hominidae.